RNAcentral lists this ribosomal RNA (501 nucleotides) under uncultured bacterium. Its description in RNAcentral is "bacterial SSU rRNA". It matches the Rfam family "Bacterial small subunit ribosomal RNA", at positions 20 to 518 of the family's 1533-position model. The record is from RNAcentral.
UGGCUCAGGACGAACGCUGGCGGCGUGCUUAACACAUGCAAGUCGAACGAAGCGGCAGUGAAGGAGGCUUCGGCCAAUGGAUCUGUCGACUUAGUGGCGGACGGGUGAGUAACGCGUGAGCAACCUGCCUUUCAGAGGGGGAUAACGUUUGGAAACGAACGCUAAUACCGCAUAAUGUAAUUUCGCUGCAUGACGGAAUUACCAAAGGAGCAAUCCGCUGAAAGAUGGGCUCGCGUCCGAUUAGAUAGUUGGUGGGGUAACGGCCUACCAAGUCGACGAUCGGUAGCCGGACUGAGAGGUUGAACGGCCACAUUGGGACUGAGACACGGCCCAGACUCCUACGGGAGGCAGCAGUGGGGAAUAUUGCACAAUGGGCGCAAGCCUGAUUGCAGCAACGCCGCGUGAGGGAAGACGGUUUUCGGAUUGUAAACCUCUGUCCUUGGCGAAGAUCAUGACGGUAGCCGAGGAGGAAGCCACGGCUAACUACGUGCCAGCCGCAGC